GGGAAUGGUGAGGUUUAGGUAAUAGGUGUAAGGAUUCAAGCAAGAGGAAUAAGAGAAUGCCACUUAGGCCAUAAACAAGGCCUCGUCGUCACUUUUCAGUGUGUGUGUGUGUGUGUGUGUGUGUGCAUGCGCACGUACACCUGCCAUCGAGCAUGCACAUAUUCAUGCUUGGAAAAGUUCCAGGACCGGCUUUUGCUUUAUUGGAAAACCAGAAAUGUCAGUCCUACUUCUGGAGGAUAAGAUCUGGCCGCGGGGCUGCUGGCCUGGGAGAAUAUUCUGGUCUGGAAGACAGCAGGGCAGUGCCUAGCGGUCCACUUUCACACCCAGACUCACGUUCAGAAAGUGAUGUUCUACCUGACACCCUGCUCACUGCAGCAAUUUCCAGCAGUGUUAAUACUAAGGAGCUCGGGUUUGGGGCUGGGGUGGAGAGGGAGGCAGAUAAUUGGCAGGCUGCCUCUGCUGAUCUUUUCACGGGCUUCUCUCUGGCUCCGGCUCUGCUCUGCGGCUGGGCUGGGCUUGCGCCGUGUCUCCUCCGACCCACCGAGCUGAUCAGGGCUGUCUGCAGCGCGUGUCAAAGCCGCCAGGCACAGGCAGCCGCGCUCCCUGACUUGACAUCCCAUCUCUCAUCCUUCCUCAGAUCUCGUCAACCUACACCGUCUGCUCCGCCAACAGCUAAUAGCGAAAUGACUGCGAGGAAGGCAAUGACAGCGAUAGCUGUCGGCAUUUAUUUUACCUUUGGUUUUUGCUGCACAGAAAAUUCCAGCGCUGAUGAGGUCAGAGCUGCAAGGGGGGAGAGAGACAUGGAGGAGGGCGCGCUGGGUUUGAGGAAGGUGGCGCUCUCAGAAACCUGCCCUUUCUCCUCCAGUACCAUGACAUUCGGGCUGAGUGGUCUCCAGCAAUGAUUUAAUGCCUCUUUUGUUUGGACGUUUGUCCGCUAAGAUAGCCCGUUUGACAGUAUGCACGCAGGCUCCAGGCACCGAGGCUCCAGGACUAAAUAUUUGUUUCCCGC
Molecule: long non-coding RNA, 1009 nt
Filed under: Felis catus (domestic cat)
Lineage: Eukaryota; Metazoa; Chordata; Mammalia; Carnivora; Felidae
Description: lncRNA (ENSFCAG00000052722.1)
Source: RNAcentral